This 2397-nucleotide ribosomal RNA is filed under the name metagenome. Its description in RNAcentral is "bacterial LSU rRNA". It matches the Rfam family "Bacterial large subunit ribosomal RNA", at positions 14 to 2430 of the family's 2925-position model. The record is from RNAcentral.
AGGGCGCAUGGCGGAUGCCUUGGCUCUCGGAGGCGAUGAAGGACGUGAUAAGCUGCGAUAAGCUUUGGGGAGGUGCAAAUGACCUUUGAUCCAGAGAUUUCCGAAUGGGACAACCCAAUAUCUUGAAGAGGUAUUAUCCAACGUUGUUGGAGGCUAACGCAGGGAACUGAAACAUCUUAGUACCUGCAGGAAAAGAAAAUAAACAAUGAUUCCCUCAGUAGUGGCGAGCGAACGGGGAACAGCCCAAACCAUCCAUGUUACGGCAUGGGUGGGGUUGUAGGACUACGCCGUUGCAUGAAGACAUCAGAGAAGAACUUUCUGGAAAGAAAGACCAUAGAGCAUGACAGUUGCGUAUUCGAAUGUUGUCGAAGCAUAGUAGUAUCCUGAGUAGCGCGGAGCACGAGGAAUUCUGCGUGAAUCUGCCGGGACCAUCCGGUAAGGCUAAAUACUCCCGAGAGACCGAUAGCGAACCAGUACCGUGAGGGAAAGGUGAAAAGCACUUCGAACAGAAGAGUGAAAUAGUUCCUGAAACCGUGCGCCUACAAGCGGUCGGAGCUCGUUAAUGAGUGACGGCGUGCCUUUUGCAUAAUGAACCUACGAGUUGCCUUUGCCGGCAAGGUUAAGUGUGACGACACACGUAUCCGAAGCGAAAGCGAGUCUGAACAGGGCGUAUAGUCGGCAGUGGCAGACGCGAAACCAAGUGAUCUACCCUUGGCCAGGUUGAAGGCUGGGUAACACCAGCUGGAGGACCGCACCAAUAAGCGUUGAAAAGCUUCUGGAUGAGCUGAGGGUAGGGGUGAAAGGCUAAUCAAACUUGGAGAUAGCUCGUACUCCCCGAAAUGCAUUUAGGUGCAGCCUUGCGGGUUACUGAUGUGAGGUAGAGCGACUGAUAAGAUGCGAGGGCUUCACCGCCUAUCAAGUCUUGACAAACUCCGAAUGCGCAUCAGUUCUACCGCAGGAGUGAGGGCAUGGGUGCUAAGGUCCGUGCCCGAGAGGAGAAGAAUCCGGACCACCUGCUAAGGUCCCGAAAUGACAGCUAAGUUAAACUAACGAAGUCUGACUGCUAAGACAGCUAGGAUGUUGGCUUGGAAGCAGCCAUUCAUUUAAAGAGUGCGUAACAGCUCACUAGUCGAGGAGUCGGGCGUGGAUAAUAAUCGGGUAUUAAGUUGUCUACCGAAGCAGUGGGAUCAUUAAUAUGAUCGGUAGGGGAGCAUUCCAGUCGGCGUCGAAGGCGUACCGUGAGGUAUUCUGGAGCGUCUGGAAAAGCAAAUGUAGGUAUAAGUAACGAUAAAGGGGGCGGGAAACCCCCUCGCCGAAAGACUAAGGUUUCCUGAUCAACGCUAAUCGGAUCAGGGUCAGUCGGGUCCUAAGGCUCAGCCGAACGGCGAUGCCGAUGGCAGAAACGGUUAAUAUUCCGUUACUACCUUCAGGAGUGACGUGGAGACGCAGUAGUGACAGUGCCGCCAUCUGACGGAAUAGAUGGUUGAAGGGUGUAGGAGUCGAUCAUGGCAGGCAAAUCCACCAUGAGAUCCGAACCUGACAGUAUGCCGCGUCCUUCGGGACAAGGCAAUAGUGCGCGUAAGCAUGCUGCCGAGAAAAUCCGCUAAACUUAAUCCUGCAGGUACCCGUACCGCAAACGGACACACGUAGUCGGGAUGAAUAUUCUAAGGCGCUUGAGUGAUUCACGGUUAAGGAACUAGGCAAACUGACCCUGUAACUUCGGGAUAAAGGGUCCCUACCCUUUUAUGGGAGGGCGCAGAGAAUCGGUCCAGGCAACUGUUUAACAAAAACACAGGGCUGUGCCAAAUCGAAAGAUCCAGUAUACAGCCUGACACCUGCCCGGUGCUGGAAGGUUAAGAGGAGAUGUCAUCGAUAAGAGAAGCGUUGAAUUGAAGCCCCAGUAAACGGCGGCCGUAACUAUAACGGUCCUAAGGUAGCGAAAUUCCUUGUCGGGUAAGUUCCGACCUGCACGAAUGGUGUAAUGAUCUGGACGCUGUCUCAACCGUGAGCUCAGUGAAAUUGUAGUAUCGGUGAAGAUGCCGAUUACCCGCGAUGGGACGAAAAGACCCCGUGAACCUUUACUAUAGCUUAUCAUUGAAUCUGGGCACGUGAUGUGUAGGAUAGGUCGGAGGCUUUGAAGCAGGUACGCCAGUAUUUGUGGAGCCGCUGUUGAAAUACGACCCUUUAUUUGUUUGGAUUCUAACCCGUGGAACGGGGACAUUGAUUGGUGGGUAGUUUGACUGGGGUGGUCGCCUCCAAAAGCGUAACGGAGGCUUCUAAAGGUGCCCUCCGGCCGAUUGGUAACCGGCCUUAGAGUGUAAUGGCAUAAGGGCGCUUGACUGGGAGACUGACAAGUCGAUCAGGUAGGAAACUAGAGCAUAGUGAUCCGGUGUUUCC